Molecule: ribosomal RNA, 795 nt
Filed under: uncultured Microvirga sp.
Lineage: Bacteria; Pseudomonadati; Pseudomonadota; Alphaproteobacteria; Hyphomicrobiales; Methylobacteriaceae
Description: bacterial SSU rRNA
Rfam family: Bacterial small subunit ribosomal RNA
Source: RNAcentral
ACCCCAAGGUGAGUGGCAGACGGGUGAGUAACGCGUGGGAACGUGCCCUUCAGUUCGGAAUAACCCAGGGAAACUUGGGCUAAUACCGGAUACGUGCGAGAGCAGAAAGAUUUAUCGCUGAAGGAUCGGCCCGCGUCUGACUAGCUAGUUGGUGAGGUAAUGGCUCACCAAGGCGACGAUCAGUAGCUGGUCUGAGAGGAUGAUCAGCCACAUUGGGACUGAGACACGGCCCAAACUCCUACGGGAGGCAGCAGUGGGGAAUAUUGGACAAUGGGCGCAAGCCUGAUCCAGCCAUGCCGCGUGAGUGAUGAAGGCCUUAGGGUUGUAAAGCUCUUUCGUCCGGGACGAUAAUGACGGUACCGGAAGAAGAAGCCCCGGCUAACUUCGUGCCAGCAGCCGCGGUAAUACGAAGGGGGCUAGCGUUGUUCGGAAUCACUGGGCGUAAAGGGCGCGUAGGCGGCUUUAUAAGUCGGGGGUGAAAGCCUGUGGCUCAACCACAGAAUUGCCUUCGAUACUGUAUGGCUUGAGACCGGAAGAGGUUAGUGGAACUGCGAGUGUAGAGGUGAAAUUCGUAGAUAUUCGCAAGAACACCAGUGGCGAAGGCGGCUGACUGGUCCGGUUCUGACGCUGAGGCGCGAAAGCGUGGGGAGCAAACAGGAUUAGAUACCCUGGUAGUCCACGCCGUAAACGAUGAAUGCCAGCCGUUGGGCAGCUUGCUGCUCAGUGGCGCAGCUAACGCUUUAAGCAUUCCGCCUGGGGAGUACGGUCGCAAGAUUAAAACUCAAAGGAAUUGAC